GAAUGGGGUAAGCAAAUCUGUCCGGGUGUUUUGUGAUGAGUGUGUUUUUUAUGUGUCGUCUUCCAACACCAUGUGCACCUAGUAAGACUAGUGUUUUCCUUUUGAAUGCUGGCAGUUUUACUACUUCUUCAUAUGUGACGAGAUCUAAUUGAUCAAACACUGCAUUGUGCUUUGCCAAAUAUUUAUCUUUGUACUGCUUUUUUUUCUUUCCAAACCAAGUACAGCUGGCCUGUUGUUCCUGUUUGGUCUUCUCCAUGGCAAUACAAGCAACCCGCCAUUCUUGAAGUUCAGGAGAAGGAAUAAGACCUGCAGUACCGUUUUUGGAGUUCUCCAGUUUACCCUGCCACCAGUUGUGAUCGUCUUUGCUAAUGAUUUGGAUAAUAUCACCAACUCGGAAUCUGAUGCCAGCUUCUUUGCAAGGAAUGAGGUCAUCCUUUGCUGGAUCAUAUUCAAAUUGUGCUCUUACAUAUAUCUGUCGUCCUUUUGGUUGUGUUGUCGACGGCAAGUCCGAAACAGAAUUGUUAGUGCUGCUAUGGCCAUUAGCUGGGGACUGUCUGGAUGUAGAGGGGGAAUCUCUCUCACAGGAUGAAGACUGUGUGCGAUAACUUGGCACUAUCUUAAAGGUGAUACUUCCACGCAUUUCCCUAAGCAUUUUUUGUAGUUGUUCUACUGUUUGAUUUGCCACACUGAUGCCGUUUAUUUCUCGGAUUUCAUCCCCUACAUGUAACGUACCUUGCCGGUGAAUCAUUCCUCCGUGCAUAAUUCUUGCCACAAUGCAAUGGUUCAGCUCAUUCAUUUUUAAAGUGAUUCCCUAGGAGAAGAAGUGUAU
Molecule: long non-coding RNA, 829 nt
Filed under: Gallus gallus (chicken)
Lineage: Eukaryota; Metazoa; Chordata; Aves; Galliformes; Phasianidae
Source: RNAcentral